GAAACUUAAAGGAAGUUGACGGGGGCCCGCGACAAGCGGUGGAGCAUGUGGUUUAAUUCGAAGCAACGCGAAGAACCUUACCAGGCCUUGACAUGCAGAGAACUUUCCAGAGAUGGAUUGGUGCCUUCGGGAACUCUGACACAGGUGCUGCAUGGUUGUCGUCAGCUCGUGCCGUGAGGUGUCGGGUUAAGUCCCAUAACGAGCGCAACCCCUAUCAUUAGUUGCCAUCAGGUCAAGCUGGGGACUCUAAUGAAACUGCCUACGCAAGUAGUGAGGAAGGUGGGGAUGACGUCAAAUCAGCACGGCCCUUACGUCCAGGGCGACACACGUGCUACAAUGGCCGGCACAGCGGGAAGCGGAGGGGCGACCCUGAGCGGAUCCCUUGAAAGCCGGUCCCAGUUCGGAUUGCAGUCUGCAACUCGACUGCAUGAAGUUGGAAUCGCUAGUAAUCGCGGAUCAGCCAAGCCGCGGUGAAUACGUUCCCGGGCCUU
RNAcentral lists this ribosomal RNA (491 nucleotides) under uncultured Bacteroidota bacterium. RNAcentral's name for it is "bacterial SSU rRNA". It matches the Rfam family "Bacterial small subunit ribosomal RNA", at positions 896 to 1382 of the family's 1533-position model. The record is from RNAcentral. Lineage: Bacteria; Pseudomonadati; Bacteroidota.